RNAcentral lists this small RNA (80 nucleotides) under unclassified sequences. Its description in RNAcentral is "NAD+-I sequence". It matches the Rfam family "nadA riboswitch". The record is from Rfam by way of RNAcentral.
GCUUUCAACAUCCCCGUCUCAGAGGCGCGAUCGGCGGUCUCGGCAUCGCCGACUCCAAACGACCUCAUGAGACUGAAGGC